AGAGUUUGAUCCUGGCUCAGAUUGAACGCUGGCGGUAUGCUUAACACAUGCAAGUCGAACGGUGACAGCAGAAGCUUGCUUCUGGCUGACGAGUGGCGGACGGGUGAGUAACACGUAGGAAUCUGUCCAAAAGAGGGGGACAACCCGGGGAAACUCGGGCUAAUACCGCAUAAUCUUUAUGAAGCAAAGGGGGCCUCUACUUGUAAGCUCUCGCUUUUGGAUGAGCCUGCGUCGGAUUAGCUUGUUGGUGGGGUAAAGGCCUACCAAGGCUACGAUCCGUAGCUGGUCUGAGAGGAUGACCAGCCACACUGGGACUGAGACACGGCCCAGACUCCUACGGGAGGCAGCAGUGGGGAAUAUUGGACAAUGGGCGCAAGCCUGAUCCAGCAAUACCGCGUGUGUGAAGAAGGCCUGCGGGUUGUAAAGCACUUUCAGUAGGGAGGAAAGGCUUAAGGCUAAUACCCUUAAGANGGGGACG
This 478-nucleotide ribosomal RNA is filed under the name uncultured Gammaproteobacteria bacterium. RNAcentral describes it as "bacterial SSU rRNA". It matches the Rfam family "Bacterial small subunit ribosomal RNA", at positions 8 to 474 of the family's 1533-position model. The record is from RNAcentral. Lineage: Bacteria; Pseudomonadati; Pseudomonadota; Gammaproteobacteria.